AUUGAACGCUGGCGGCAGGCCUAACACAUGCAAGUCGAGCGGAUGAAGGGAGCUUGCUCCUGGAUUCAGCGGCGGACGGGUGAGUAAUGCCUAGGAAUCUGCCUGGUAGUGGGGGAUAACGUCCGGAAACGGGCGCUAAUACCGCAUACGUCCUGAGGGAGAAAGUGGGGGAUCUUCGGACCUCACGCUAUCAGAUGAGCCUAGGUCGGAUUAGCUAGUUGGUGGGGUAAAGGCCCACCAAGGCGACGAUCCGUAACUGGUCUGAGAGGAUGAUCAGUCACACUGGAACUGAGACACGGUCCAGACUCCUACGGGAGGCAGCUGUGGGGAAUAUUGGACAAUGGGCGAAAGCCUGAUCCAGCCAUGCCGCGUGUGUGAAGAAGGUCUUCGGAUUGUAAAGCACUUUAAGUUGGGAGGAAGGGCAGUAAGUUAAUACCUUGCUGUUUUGACGUUACCAACAGAAUAAGCACCGGCUAACUUCGUG
Molecule: ribosomal RNA, 484 nt
Filed under: uncultured bacterium
Lineage: Bacteria
Description: partial 16S ribosomal RNA
Rfam family: Bacterial small subunit ribosomal RNA
Source: RNAcentral